This 340-nucleotide ribosomal RNA is filed under the name Cephalophus dorsalis (bay duiker). RNAcentral describes it as "partial 12S small subunit ribosomal RNA". It matches the Rfam family "Bacterial small subunit ribosomal RNA", at positions 796 to 1334 of the family's 1533-position model. Lineage: Eukaryota; Metazoa; Chordata; Mammalia; Artiodactyla; Bovidae. The record is from RNAcentral.
UUAGCCCUAAACACAAAUAAUUAUAAAAACAAAAUUAUUCGCCAGAGUACUACCGGCAACAGCCUAAAACUCAAAGGACUUGGCGGUGCUUUAUACCCUUCUAGAGGAGCCUGUUCUAUAAUCGAUAAACCCCGAUAGACCUCACCAAUUCUUGCUAAUACAGUCUAUAUACCGCCAUCUUCAGCAAACCCUAAAAAGGAAUAAAAGUAAGCAUAAUCACAACACAUAAAAACGUUAGGUCAAGGUGUAACCUAUGAAAUGGGAAGAAAUGGGCUACAUUUUCUACCACAAGAAAAUCACACGAAAGUUAUUAUGAAACUAAUAACCAAAGGAGGAUUUA